RNAcentral lists this ribosomal RNA (395 nucleotides) under uncultured bacterium. RNAcentral's name for it is "bacterial SSU rRNA". It matches the Rfam family "Bacterial small subunit ribosomal RNA", at positions 355 to 764 of the family's 1533-position model. The record is from RNAcentral.
UAGGGAAUAUUGCGCAAUGGGGGAAACCCUGACGCAGCGACGCCGCGUGAGUGAUGAAGGCCUUCGGGUCGUAAAGCUCUGUCGUAUGGGAAUAACAUAAUGAAUGUACCAUGCAAGAAAGGAUCGGCUAACUUCGUGCCAGCAGCCGCGGUAAGACGAGGGAUCCUAGCGUUGUUCGGAAUCAUUGGGCGUAAAGCGGGUGUAGGCGGACUUUUAAGUCAGAUGUGAAAUCCCAGGGCUCAACCCUGGACGUGCAUUUGAUACUGGAAGGCUUGAGUGUGGUAGAGGCUAAUGGAAUUGUUGGUGUAGUGGUGAAAUACGUAGAUAUCAACAGGAAUACCGGAGGCGAAGGCGGAUAGCUGGGCCAACACAGACGCUGAGACCCGAAAGCGUGG